ACCCGCACAAGCGGUGGAUGAUGUGGAUUAAUUCGAUGCAACGCGAAAACCUUACCUACCCUUGACAUGUCCGGAAUCCCGAAGAGAUUUGGGAGUGCUCGCAAGAGAACCGGAACACAGGUGCUGCAUGGCUGUCGUCAGCUCGUGUCGUGAGAUGUUGGGUUAAGUCCGCUAACGAGCGCAACCCUCGCUGUGUGUUAUAUGUGUCACACGGGACUGCCGGUCUUAAGCCGGAGGAAGGUGGGGAUGAUGUCAAGUCAGCAUGGCCUUUAUAUCCUGGGCUACACACACGCUACAAUGGCCAACACAAUAGGUUGCUAAGCCGCGAGGUGGCGCCAAUCCAUAAAGUUGGUCUCAGUUCAGAUUGUAGGCUGCAACCCGCCUGCAUGAAGAUGGAGUUGCUAGUAACCGCAGGUCAGCUAUACUGCGGUGAAUACGUUCCCGGGGCUU
Molecule: ribosomal RNA, 450 nt
Filed under: uncultured Alicycliphilus sp.
Lineage: Bacteria; Pseudomonadati; Pseudomonadota; Betaproteobacteria; Burkholderiales; Comamonadaceae
Description: bacterial SSU rRNA
Rfam family: Bacterial small subunit ribosomal RNA
Source: RNAcentral